RNAcentral lists this ribosomal RNA (328 nucleotides) under uncultured eukaryote. RNAcentral describes it as "partial 18S ribosomal RNA". It matches the Rfam family "Eukaryotic small subunit ribosomal RNA", at positions 1470 to 1796 of the family's 1831-position model. The record is from RNAcentral.
CCCUUAGAUGUCCGGGGCUGCACGCGCGCUACACUGAAGGAAUCAGCGUGCUAAAACCAUUGUCGAAAGGCAUUGGUAAACCCAUUAAAAUCCUACGUGAUUGGGAUCGGGAAUUGCAAUUAUUUCCCUUGAACGAGGAAUUCCCAGUAAGUGUGGGUCAUAAGCUCGCGUUGAUUACGUCCCUGCCCUUUGUACACACCGCCCGUCGCUGCCCGGGACUGAGCCGUCUCGAGAAAAGCGGGGACUGCUGCUGUCGGGGCUUUCGGGCCUUGGCUUCGGUGGAAACCGCUUUAAUCGCAGUGGCUUGAACCGGGCAAAAGUCGUAACA